Molecule: ribosomal RNA, 468 nt
Filed under: uncultured bacterium
Lineage: Bacteria
Description: partial 16S ribosomal RNA
Rfam family: Bacterial small subunit ribosomal RNA
Source: RNAcentral
GACGAACGCUGGCGGCGUGCUUAACACAUGCAAGUCGAACGGAAAGGCCCUGCUUUUGUGGGGUGCUCGAGUGGCGAACGGGUGAGUAACACGUGAGUAACCUGCCCUUGACUUUGGGAUAACUUCAGGAAACUGGGGCUAAUACCGGAUAGGAGCUCCUGCUGCAUGGUGGGGGUUGGAAAGUUUCGGCGGUUGGGGAUGGACUCGCGGCUUAUCAGCUUGUUGGUGGGGUAGUGGCUUACCAAGGCUUUGACGGGUAGCCGGCCUGAGAGGGUGACCGGCCCCAUUGGGACUGCGCUACGGCCCAGACUCCAACGGAAGGCAGCAGUGGGAAAUAUUGCACAAUGGGCGGAAGCCUGUUGCAGCAACGCCGCGUGCGGGAUGACGGCCUUCGGGUUGUAAACCGCUUUCGCCUGUGACGAAGCGUGAGUGACGGUAAUGGGUAAAGAAGCACCGGCUAACUACGUG